GCGACACACGUGUCGUAAUCCGCGGUAAUACUGAGGUGGUAAUCGUUAUCCGGAAUUAUGGGGCGGAAAGCGCUCGUAGGCGGUUUUUUAAGUCUGAUGUGAAAGCCCACGGCUCAACCGUGGAGGGUCAUUGGAAACUGGAAAACCUGAGUGCAGAAGAGGAAAGUGGAAUUCCAUGUGUAGCGGUGAAAUGCGCAGAGAUAUGGAGGAACACCAGUGGCGAAGGCGACUUUCUGGUCUGUAACUGACGCUGAUGUGCGAAAGCGUGGGGAUCAAACAGGAUUAGAUACCCCAGUAGUC
This 300-nucleotide ribosomal RNA is filed under the name uncultured Lactobacillus sp. Its description in RNAcentral is "bacterial SSU rRNA". It matches the Rfam family "Bacterial small subunit ribosomal RNA", at positions 493 to 795 of the family's 1533-position model. Lineage: Bacteria; Bacillati; Bacillota; Bacilli; Lactobacillales; Lactobacillaceae. The record is from RNAcentral.